Molecule: long non-coding RNA, 5758 nt
Filed under: Homo sapiens (human)
Lineage: Eukaryota; Metazoa; Chordata; Mammalia; Primates; Hominidae
Description: non-protein coding lnc-TARDBP-5:6
Source: RNAcentral
CUUCCUCCGCCCCAAGCAGCCGGGGCGGUGCACCACCGGCCCCCGCUUCCUUCUCGGGGUUGGGAGGCACCGAGGGCCUCGAGGGGCUGCGGGACUCGGGCUUGGUGUGGAGGGCAAGAGCGCUGCGACGUGCGGACUGGAGAGUCAGCCUUUGGGCUGGAGACACGGGAGCGGGUGGCUACAGUGGUUUACGUUGUUGCACGGGGCGAGUAGAACUGUCCAGGAAGAGGCCCAGAACAUACAUAUUCAGCACCAGAAAAGACUGGCACGCAAUUUUUCUUGACAAACUGGGUCUUGCUCUUUGAAGGGUGGGUGGGAAUGUGCUGUUUUUAUGAGAAUGUCAAAGAACUUCUCAGAAUCACAUUAAGCAUGCUAAUUACCAAAUAUUAAAUGCUAAUUGUUCCACACGCAGUUCGAAUGCCAAGGAAGGAAGAUGAAACUAGUAUAAGCUACUCUUGACAUUAUGUCAGGGAUGGUUUUGACACGUUUUGCAGCCUCCACCUGGAGGUGGGGAACGUUUCCUGUGUCGUCCCCAGAGCAGAGUAACAGCGUUGUUUAUGGGUGAGAGCAAGCCUCAAGCCUAGGCAACAAUGUGCCUUGCUUGCUUUUAAGCUCCUUCUAAAGGGGAGGUAAACCAAGACCGCUAAAGAAUUGCUAGGUGCCUGGGCGUGAUGGUUCACCCCGGUAAUCCCAGCACUGUGGGAGGCGGAGGCGGAGGCGGGCGGAUCACGAGGUCAAGAGAUCAAGACGAUCCUGGCCAACAUGGUGAAACCCCGUCUGUACUAAAAAUACAAAAAUUAGCUGGGCAUGGUAGUGCGCGCCUGCAGUCCCAGCUACUCGGGAGGCUGAGGCAGGAGAAUCGCUUGAACCCGGGAGUUGGAGGUUGCAGUGAGCUGAGAUUGCGCCACUGCACUCUAGCCUGGGCAACGAUAGUGAAACUCCGUCUCAAAAAAAAAAAAAAAAAAUUGCUAGGCAGCUGGGCACAGGGGCUCAGGCUGAUAAUACUAGAAUUUUGGGAGGCCGAGGCAGGAGGACCGCUUGAGCCCAGGAGUUCGAGACCAGCCUGGGCAACAUAGCAAGACUGUCUCUAAAAAAUAAAAAACAUUGCUAGGCAACAGCUUCCAUGGACUUGUUCCAGGAACGAAGAUUAUUCUUGAAAUGUCCACGUAGUGGAUAAGACAGAGUCAAUCAGUGUGUCCAGUGCUACAGGCUUGAUUGGGUUCAAUCCUGUACUUGGGUCAAGGUGUUUGCCUACAUUGCCUGUACUUCCUCCAAGACAUUUCUGCCUCUGGGUUGUAACUGCCCGUGUACUUGUCUGUGUUCCCUAAGCCAGAUCAUAAGCUCUGAAGCUGAGGAUGGUGGCUGUAGAUGGCAGUACUUGUCUGUGUUCCCUGAGCCAGAUCAUAAGCUCUGAAGCUGAGGAUGGUGGCCGUAGAUGACAGGCCUGGAUGCAGCCAGGUGCCUUGUGGAUCAGCUUGCUUUUAGGUGGUGAAGGACUGACCAUAGACAGUGGCCCUGGCAUUCCAGGACACUGCAUGGGGGAAAGUGGAGGGCCAGGUCCAUCCCAUCCCCUCUAUAAGCUGGACAAAGCUGCUCCAGCAUGUGGGUCCUCACAUGAAAAAGGCCACAUUGACAUCCUUUGUCCUCCUGUAGAGGGAGUGAAACUGAGAGGCCUCAGCCUCAAGCAGGCACAGAACUUGAGACCUCUCGGCCAGAGUGUACAGACAUUGCACAAACCUUCCAAGUUCAGAGAAGACAAAAGCCCUGAGUAAAUUACAGACAAAAAAGCCCCCAAAUAUACAGCACUGUGAAUCCAGAAAUGCCACCUGACUUCAGGUCACAAGGAAGAAAAACUGAUUUUGCCAGAAGUAGCCAUUAUUGCACAGCCCAGUUAUAAUCACAACUGACGUUAAAGUCAGGCCAGAUGACCACAGAAGUCUACAGAAAAAAACCAGGAUUGGCCACGCGUGGUGGCUCACGCUUGUAAUCCCAGCAGUUCGGGAGGCCAAAGCGGGUGGAUCACCUGAGGUCAGGAGUUCAAGACCAGCCUGGCCAAGGUGGUGAAAUUCCAUCUCUACUAAAAAUACAAAAACUAGCUGCCAUUGUGGCGUGCACCUGUAAUCCCAGCUACUUGGGAGGCUGAGGCAUGAGAAUUGCUUCAACCCAGGAGGCGGAGGUUGCAGUGAGCCACAGUCGCACCACUGCACUCCAGCCUAGGUGACAGAGCGAGACCCUGUCUCCAAGAAAGGAAAAAAAAAAAAACAAAAAAAAACACCCCCAACACCAAAAAACAAAACAAAACAAAACAAAAAAACAACCAAACAACCAGGACUGAGAAAAUCAGGCUUUAGCAUGAAAUGUUUUCCCCUAAAUUCAGACCAAUGUACCUCAAAAACCCAGUUGUAAAGCUUAAGUGUCUAGUGGGUUAACUAUCCCACCCAACCUCCUAAAAAGUGUUAUUAUAAAAGGAAAAAGGGGAGAAAGGGUAGAGGAGAGAAAGGUGGGCCAAUGGCUACUGUUCAAGGAAAUGGUUUAAAUGGGGCUGCCACGUGGUUAUGUGUCUGUCACGAGAGGCUUGUUAAGCAGUUAGCACUUGAGUCAUUUUUCUACACUUCCAUUCAGCCAGGCAGACAGCUGUGGUUAUGAGUGGGAACAAUUUUGGCCAUUAUGUGGUGUGGCUUGGUUGAAAAUGCUUAUGGCAAGCUGCCUAAGGCACCGCAAACAGCAGCAUGCCUCCUUGAGCACACAGUCCUUCUGCUCAUAAAUUCUCUCUCUACCUCCAACCUGGCCAGCCCUGCCAGAUCCCUUUCCCUUCCUCUUGGAGCACAGGCCCAGCCAUGGCCUCCACUACUCAGUCACUGCACAGUUCCUGACCCACACAUACCCCUCUAUGUGCUCACCAUCCUCCUUAGUCCUGUCCCAGGUGCUCCCCAAGUGACCUGACAUUGAGCUCCAGCUGUUGUUCUUUGAACACCCAAGACCCUCAUCUCCACCCCAUGGCUGAGGAGUUCUGGAUUUGGGGUUUGAUGGACCAGUAAACCUCUGCAGACACCAUCUAGGGACUGACACUGGGUUGCGAACUUUUUAUUUUGCAAGAUUGAAUAUUUGAAAACAACUCAAACUCCUGUCUAAGGUUCCUGUCUUUUAAAAAACAAACAGAAGGCCAGGCACAGUGGCUCACGCCUGUAAUCCCAGCACUUUGGGAGGCCAAGGUGGGUGGAUUACCUGAGGUCAGGAGUUCAGGACCAGCCUGGCCAACGUGGUGAAACUCCAUCUCUACUAAAAGUACAAAAAUUAGCCAGGCGUGGUGGUGGGCACCUCUAAUCCCAGCUACUUGGGAGGCUGAGGCAGGAGAAUUUCUUGAACCCAGGAGAUGGAGAUUGCAGUGAGCGAAGAUCAUGCCAUUGCACUCCAGCCUGAACGCCAGAGGGAGACUCUGCCUCAAAAAACAAACAAACCAACAAACAAACAAACAGAAAAACAUUGUCACACAGACAAAACCAAUAUGGAAAACUUCCAAAGAAAGGGUGCGGCAUCACUUUAACGGGUGAGCACAGCGGCCCUGGCAGCCUCCAGGCUCUAGGUGGCACUGGAUUCUUUCUGACAAGUCCUCAUCUGGGCUGUCAGAGACCUCCGCUUUGAGCUGCGCUGCCAUAGAGCUCUCUGGAAGUCCCUUGCUCCUCAGGGUCCAGUCCGAAUGCGCCUUUCACGAGGCCUCUCAGGCCAUCCUCAGGAGAAAAUAAUUUCUCACUUUGGCCAGGCGUCGUGGCUCACGCCUUGCAAUCCCAGCACUUUGGAAGGCUGAGGUGGGCGGAUCACUUGAGGUCAGGAGUUCAAGACCAGUCUGGCCAACAUGGUACAACCCCGUCUCCACUAAUUAGCUGGGUGUGGUGGUGGGCGCCUGUAAUCCCAGCUACGUGGGAGGCUGAGGCAGGAGAAUUGCUUGAACCCGAGAGGCAGAGGUUGCAGUGAGCUGAGAUCGUACCACUGCACUCCAGCCUGGGUGACAAGAGCGAGACUGUCUCAAAAAAAAAAAAAAAAAAAAAAUUCCACCUGUGAGGCCGGGCACAGUGGCUCACGCCUGUAAUCCCAGCACUUUGGGAGGCUGAGGUGAGUGGAUCACCUGAGGUCAGGAGUUCGAGACCAGCCUGACCAACAUGGUGAAACCUUGUCUGUACUUAAAAAUACAAAAAUAAGCCGGGCGUGAUGGCAGGCGCCUGUAAUCCCAACUCCUUGGGAGGCUGAGGCAGGACAACUGCUUGAAUCCAGGAGGUGGAGGUUGCAGUGAGCCGAGAUUGUGCCGUGCCAUUGCACUUCAGCCUGGGCAACAAGAGCGAAACUCCGUCUCAGGAAAAAAAAAAAAAAAAAAUUCCGCUUGUCAAUUUUUUAUAGCAGAGACUGCCAUUUUUAGGCAGUGACUGUUCUUUGUCCUUCGAUGUCUGUUCUUCCCAAAUUCUAUAGUAGAACCCUGGGCUUUUAGUUGGACACACGGAUGACUGAAAUAAUGAUAUUUCCUAGUACCCCUUGCUGUGGUCUUGUGACUAAGUUCUGACCAAUGGGAAGUUGAAAUGGGCAGUAUCCUAUUCAAAGAGAUUGGGUGCUGUUCUUUCCUCCUUCCAGCAGACUGGAAUGAGAAUGUAAUGGCUGGAGCAAGGGCAGUCACCCUGCACCAUGAGGCGGCAGCCUUGUGUUUGAGCUGAGGAUGGUAAAACAAGAUAGGAGCCUGUGUCUGAUGAUCAUGAGCAUCACACUAGCUCUGGGCCAACUAUGUUUACAAAAGAGGAGGAAAAUCAUCUCUCUUGUUAAAAGUCACUAUAGUUUGGCUUUUCUGUCAUUUUCAACCAGUCUAGUCCUAGCUAAAACAAACUCCAGCCUAUCUUAGGACAGGGCUGUUCUCUGCUGUUCAAGAGUGGGAGCUCUCUGACGGCAGUGAUGUGUGAUUUGGCUUGGUACCCCCCAAAGGUUAUCAUAUACAGUUGGCAAUCUCAAUACUUUGUGGGAUGAAUUUCAAAGAAAAAAGGUUUCUAGGUUAAGUAUUUGUAAAAACCAAAGUAAUGGCAUUUUGUGCUUUCCUGAUUUAUUAGCCCAUCUCAGGAUUAAAAUAAAAUGAAGUUCUAAAGAAAUUAUCAGAGACUGGGUCACAAAUUUAUAUAAAAGUUUAGUGAGUGCUGCAUUAUUAAGAAUAGUACCAAAAAUGAAAACCUAAGCGUUUAACAAUGGGGGUUGGCGAAAAUAAAUUUUAGAUUGAGAAAAGUGUCAUAACACAAACUUUCAAGGUGACAAAUGAUAGAAACCUGAACCCAAGAUAUAUUUUAAAAAUAUAUCUAUAUACACAUAGCGAAAGCUUAUAAGGAAAUACAGCAAAAUGUUAAUCUCAGCUGGGUGUGGUGGCUCAUGCCUGAAAUCCCAACACUGGCAGGACAAGACAGGAGGAUUGCUUGAGGCCAGGAGUUCAAGACCAGCCUGGGCAACACAGCAAGACCCCAUCUCUAUAAAACAUAAGAAAAAUUACCCAGGUGUGGUGGCAUGUGCCUGGGAGGUCAAGGCUGCAGUGAGCUAGGAUCACACUACUGCACUCCAGAAUGGGCAACAGAGUGAGACCCUGUCUCAAAAAAAGGAAAAAAGCAUCUUUGUGUGACAGGACUACAAAUGAUUAAAAUUUUCUCUUUGCAUUUGCCUUUUUUUUUGAGACAGAGUCUUGCUCUACUGCCCAGGCUCAAAUGAGGUGGCGUGAUCUCGGCUCACUGCAACCUCCGCC